Molecule: ribosomal RNA, 612 nt
Filed under: Bacillus cereus
Lineage: Bacteria; Bacillati; Bacillota; Bacilli; Caryophanales; Bacillaceae
Also listed under: 2 other names
Description: partial 23S ribosomal RNA
Rfam family: Bacterial large subunit ribosomal RNA
Source: RNAcentral
AAGGGCGCACGGUGGAUGCCUUGACACUAGGAGUCGAUGAAGGACGGGACUAACGCCGAUAUGCUUCGGGGAGCUGUAAGUAAGCUUUGAUCCGAAGAUUUCCGAAUGGGGAAACCCACUAUACGUAAUGGUAUGGUAUCCUUACCUGAAUACAUAGGGUAUGGAAGACAGACCCAGGGAACUGAAACAUCUAAGUACCUGGAGGAAGAGAAAGCAAAUGCGAUUUCCUGAGUAGCGGCGAGCGAAACGGAACAUAGCCCAAACCAAGAGGCUUGCCUCUUGGGGUUGUAGGACAUUCUAUACGGAGUUACAAAGGAACGAGGUAGACGAAGCGACCUGGAAAGGUCCGUCGUAGAGGGUAACAACCCCGUAGUCGAAACUUCGUUCUCUCUUGAAUGUAUCCUGAGUACGGCGGAACACGUGAAAUUCCGUCGGAAUCUGGGAGGACCAUCUCCCAAGGCUAAAUACUCCCUAGUGAUCGAUAGUGAACCAGUACCGUGAGGGAAAGGUGAAAAGCACCCCGGAAGGGGAGUGAAAGAGAUCCUGAAACCGUGUGCCUACAAAUAGUCAGAGCCCGUUAAUGGGUGAUGGCGUGCCUUUUGUAGAAUGAAC